Molecule: ribosomal RNA, 216 nt
Filed under: Glomeromycotina sp.
Lineage: Eukaryota; Fungi; Glomeromycota
Description: partial small subunit ribosomal RNA
Rfam family: Eukaryotic small subunit ribosomal RNA (bases 87-216)
Source: RNAcentral
GGGUCAGUAGGUUGGUCGUGCCACCGGUACGUACUGGUCUCACUGAUUCCUCCUUCCUGAAGAACCGUAAUGCCAUUAAUUGGGUGUUGCGGGGAAACAGGACUGUUACUUUGAAAAAAUUAGAGUGUUUAAAGCAAGCUAACGCUUGAAUACAUUAGCAUGGAAUAAUGAAAUAGUACGAUCGACCCUAUUUUGUUGGUUUCUAGGAUUGACGUA